CUUGGAGGAAUGNAUAGCAAUAGCUAAUUGCACUAGGAAUGUUAGUGUAAAAUCGACUAUGUUGAAUAAAAUUCUGGGUAGGCUUUUGAUGAUGACAUUAUCUGCUCAUAAGUCUUGACCAAAUUACGUGCCAGCAGUCGCGGUAAUACGUAGAAGACAAGUGUUAUUCAUCUUUAAUAGGUUUAAAGGGUACCUAGACGGGAAAUAAAGCCUCNAAAAGGGACUUAUUUUCUAGAGUUUUAUGUGAAGAAGUAUUAAAGUACUAGAGGUGCAGAGAUGAAAUUCAGUCAUACCUUGAUGGCACAGGUUAAGGCAAAGGCGUCUUCUUAUGUAAAAACUGACGUUGAGGGACGAAGGCUUUGUGUCUCGAACAGGAUUAGAUACCCUAGUAGUCUAAGCAGACAAUGAUGAAUGUCAUAGAUUAGAUGUAAUUUGAUCUAUAAAUGAAAGUGUAAGCAUUCCACCUCAAGAGUAAUUUGGCAACAUUGGAACUGAAAUCAUUAGACCGUUUCUGAAACCAGUAGUGAAGUAUGUUGUUUAAUUUGAUAACCCGCAAAAAACCUUACCACAAUUUGAAUAGAUAUAUUUUAUCAUACCAGCGUUGCACGGCUGUCUUCAGUUAAUGUCGUGAGACUAUGGUUAGUUCCAUUAAUUAACGUAAACCCAUAUUUUAUUUUAAGAUAAAGUAGUUCACCGCUAGAUUGGAUGUGAUNAUAHGGAUCNAGACAAGUCACCA
This 736-nucleotide ribosomal RNA is filed under the name Sirenophila cliffwetmorei. RNAcentral describes it as "mitochondrial SSU rRNA". It matches the Rfam family "Bacterial small subunit ribosomal RNA", at positions 352 to 1195 of the family's 1533-position model. Lineage: Eukaryota; Fungi; Ascomycota; Lecanoromycetes; Teloschistales; Teloschistaceae. The record is from RNAcentral.